This is a long non-coding RNA of Myotis lucifugus (little brown bat), 2649 nucleotides long. RefSeq lists it as uncharacterized. The record is from RefSeq and is a predicted model, not a curated record. Lineage: Eukaryota; Metazoa; Chordata; Mammalia; Chiroptera; Vespertilionidae. The transcript has 3 exons.
UACUUGCACUGUAGCUCCUAAUGCCUUAACUCACUAAUGGGGGAGAGGGGGGUGAAUCCUCUCCAAACACCCGAGGGCUCAUUUAUAGACUAAGGGCCAGAGAGCAGAGGCUUGUCUAGGGGCACACAGCAAGUCGACUGGCUCAGAGAGGUCAGUCCAACCUGGGACCCUGCUCCCUGGGAGGUCUCUAGCCAGUCCUUAGUGUCAUAAUUAUAAUGAUGCAAAUGAUCAUGUUGAUAAGCCAUCUGGAAGCACCCACCACAUACUACUGGGCUAAGGCUUUGCAUGUGUCGUCGUUUCAUCCUUAUAACCAACCCUAUGAGGGAGAUACUCCUUUUGUUUCCAUUUUAUAGGUGAAGGAAACUGAGGCACGGACUUGCCAAUGUCAGCUGACUAAUAAGUCGUGCGGUUGGGACAGGAACACAGGUCCUUCCCAGAUGCUGCAGUCUGGCCAGGCAGAAACUAGCUCAUAACCUUCAGGACCGUUUGGGACCGUGUCUAAGCCCAGGCUGGAGCCUGGGGAUGGAACAAGGAGACCCUGCCUCCCAGGCCCAGCUUCUCCUUGCCACCUGACCUUGAUGGAGUCACACGUCAGCUGCCUCGCUCCUGGCUUAUUUUCCCCAUCUGGAGCACGAGGGAUUGAAGUCUGCUGCAUCUUAUGCUGCCUGAUUCCUAUCCCUGGAGAAGACCUUGCCCUUACGCAGAAGGCAUUUCCAAGUGUCUGGUUGACUUACCUCUCCUCUUCCUUUUCUCUGUCCACCCCAAGUCUGCCCAUCCUCGCUGGGCCCGUUCAGCCUCCCCACCCACCCACAGGGCAGUGUAGGCAGGAAGGGCCACUGGAUUCUGGGCUGAGGAGCUGAGCUGCUGCUGCCUCUCCCCUCCCUAAAUUUGCCAUCUGUUCUACCACUUCAUCCGCCUGCCCAGCAGGAACAGGAGCUCACUACCCCCACCUGGGGGCAUUCCUUCUCAUAGGGCCGCUCUGGCUGAUCCGGAACCUCAAGCACACAGUGCCUGGGCCCUGGGUUCUGGUCCCCAAAGCCGCCUUCCUGCGGUGUUGAAGAAGCUGCUCCACCUUAGAGCUGUUCUGGAGGCUGGGUAGCCUUUGUUUCUUUGUUAGCAAAGGCUUUGCCAGCCAUGAUGUAACGGGGGGUGCUUAGUGUGGGAACGCAGGGAACCAUGCCAGUCCCUUGCCAAGGACGUGGUUCUCCAGCCGUUGUCCUUGGAGCUACAGGUGGCAGCUUCCUAGGCAAGGAGGAGAUGGAGAAGCACUGUGAGAUGGCUCCUCGAGCCCCCCCUCCACACACACACCCCGUUGCCAAGACCCAGAUGUGGGCCCAUCCUGGCCCCCAGCCAGAGGGAGUCACCCAAGGGUUUUCAGUCCAACCCUCCGUGAAAAUCAUGUUCUGCCAAUUACCAGCCUCCCCUGGAGAGUUGAGGGCUGUUUCACGCUUUGUGACCUCAGUCUGCCCCGGGUGUGUGUUUGGAUCCCCACAGAGCAGGUCCGUGAGGCCCCCUCCACAUCACCUGUCCCCCCACAUCCACCUGCAGCCUCUUAGGGCUUGCUCCCUUCUGGUCCUGGAUUGAGCUCUGAAGUACGCCAUGUCAUUUCCACACUCAGCUGUGUCUCCUUCUUACUCUCCUCCAUCAGCAUUUCUCACUUGUACCUGGUGAGGCUGCUCCCUGUGGAGCCAAGGAUGGGAGGGCCAGUCAGGAUUGAUCAUGAGAGACCUCAGUGCCCAGCUGAGGUGCAUGGCUUUAUCCUGAGGGACCCAGGGAGCCAUGCAUGGGUUUUGAGGAGUCUCAUGAGCAGCUAGAUGUCUUAGCAAGGUGGCAAUCAGUUCAGGGUGGAGGUGGAGGCGGGGUUGAACUGGGAUGGGGGCUGGAGAAUGCCCAGUUGAGGAGAAGGAAGCUGGGGCUCCGGGAAUGAAGGGAGCGGGUAGAUGUGAGAACUGCAGAGGGAGAAUUGACAGGCCUUCGUGACAGAUUUGAUACAAGAAGUGGAAAGGGAAGAGGCAAAGCGACUUUGAAGUUUCCAGACUGGGGAUUAGAAGUUUGCUGAUGUCUUUGAUAGAGACAAAGCAGUGUUGGAUGUUGAAUAUUUCAGCGCGAGGGGCCUGUUGGAUGUCCCCAGAAGAGAUGUCCAGGAGGCAGCACAUCUGGCGCUCCAGAGAGAGGGCUGGGCCAGAGGGCACUCACAGUUGGUAUGUUGGAAAGCCCCGUGCCCCGUGGGGUAGGGGGGAGAAUGAGGAGCGACAGGCCUGGUGCUCCUGUAGGGAGCGCCCAUCCAUACGGAGGGGGUGAAGAUAGGAUGAGGCAGUGAGCAAGACAGAGUAAGUGCCGUCUGGAAGGUGGGAGGGGGACAGCCUCGUAGGAGGGAGGGGGAGGGCGCUGAGAAGGCGCCUUUGGUCAAGAGGAGGUAGCUGGAGCCUGUGAAUCCUGGGCGGGGGCUGAUCCUCCAGUCGCUUUGGGCAGCCACCCGCCUUCCAGAAGCAUCCUGCUUCCUCCCACCUCCCUCCACUUCCCCAACUAGCAGGAAAAAAAGGAAAAAAACAAAAACCCGAGUGCGGAAUCUUGGGGGGAAGGCGCGGGAGGGUGAGUGGGUGAGAGGUAAUCAACUAAAGACUUUGUAUGCAUAUGUGUAUAACCCAU